RNAcentral lists this microRNA (22 nucleotides) under Hyalella azteca. Its description in RNAcentral is "miR-2169". The record is from RNAcentral. Lineage: Eukaryota; Metazoa; Arthropoda; Malacostraca; Amphipoda; Hyalellidae.
UGCAAAGUAAAGAUAGGUUAAU